GAAUGAACCAGAAACGGGGGAAACACUUCAGUCCAAACAACAGACACAGAAGAAAAAGAGGUGGAUGUGGAUGACACGAGUGACAGGUGAGCUGAACGUCUCUGGGAGGCGGCAGCUCGACGAAAUCACAGCGUGAAUCAUCAGAUUACCAUCUGUUUGCUUGCAGCCUAGAAGUGUAGAAACUCCCAUCUGUCUCCUCUUGUUUAGUUCUAGUCCAGUGAAAACAGUCUGAGUGAACAUCUCUGAUGGUCUGUAUAUGGGAUAGAUCUAC
Xiphophorus couchianus (Monterrey platyfish) is the source of this 271-nucleotide long non-coding RNA. RefSeq lists it as uncharacterized. The record is from RefSeq and is a predicted model, not a curated record. The transcript has 3 exons. NCBI's taxonomy places the organism in Eukaryota, Metazoa, Chordata, Actinopteri, Cyprinodontiformes, Poeciliidae.